Pangasianodon hypophthalmus (striped catfish) is the source of this 1485-nucleotide long non-coding RNA. RefSeq lists it as uncharacterized. The transcript has 5 exons. Lineage: Eukaryota; Metazoa; Chordata; Actinopteri; Siluriformes; Pangasiidae. The record is from RefSeq and is a predicted model, not a curated record.
UGAGAGCAAUCAAAAGUUGAGUUCACCUAUAAAUCUUGUUGUUGCCAUAGGCCUGUGUGAUGCCAUCUCAAGCUGUGCUGAGAUCCUGAACCUGACGUCAUCUUUCAGGCAUGAAUAACGUAGUCUGUAUGUCUGGGGGAUACAAAAUGUGGUGCAGUGAAGAAGAACAAUAUUAGCACUUUAACCCAAAUAACCCAAAUUUGCACAUACAGCUGAUGUAAACACAAUCUAGAGACCAGCAUAGAAAAUGUAGAAUCACACUGACUAUGAUGUUGAUACUGAACAUCUUUUCAAAACACUUAGAACUGUUUGACUUUAUAGUAUACAGAUGUGGAAGAGUAAUGAUUUAUAAUCCCACUAUCACCCAGGAAAGGAUGUGUUCCCUUUUGAGUCUGGUUCCUCUCAUUGUUUCUUCCUCAUGUUGUCUUGGAGAGUUUUUCUUGCCCCUGUCAUCUCUGACUUGUUCAUUAGGGAUCUAAAUCUACAGCCUAAGUUCUGUAAAGCUGCUUUGUGACAAUAUCUACUGUUAUUUAAAAAAAAAAAAAAAGGCACUAUACAAAUAAAAUUGAAUCGAAUAUUUAAUGUAUUCUGAUGUGAUAUUACGGUGAAGUAUUAGCAACCAUUAUUAUUAUUAUUAUUAUUAUUAUUAUUAUUAUUAUUAUUUUACUUCAGCCCAUGUGCUACCACUAUCAUUUUAGAUGCAUGUUAGACUUGGUCCAAGGCUCCAGAUUAACAUCCCAAACCCAAAACAUGGUUUAUAAAGGGAGAAAAACAGAUCUAAACAAUAUUGUAUUUCAUGUUCAAGAAACUGUUCAUAUGUAGUCUAAUGAUACAAUGUGUUACGAAGAAACUUUCCUUUGUUGCAAAACAGCUACCGGAUUCCAGUGCCAGCUACGUUUUUUCCCCCUAGCAAACAUACAAAUGUACAAAUCAUUGGCUGGGACACAUGAGUAAUCUUAGAUAAAGAUCAUAUUAUAGGUAUAAAUUCAGGAGGACACUGGAUUAAGCAAAAGGUGGAAAAGCCAGCAGAUAUGAUGAAAAUGAAGGCACUUUUCAUUUGUCUGGUUGCCUUACUCUUCAUAAAUUACAGUGAGGCUUUGUGGUGUUAUGGAUGUGUUGGAAAAGGCUGUUCAGGUAGAAGAGAGGAAUGUGGCUCUCUUCUGCAAAAUCCUGUCUGUGCCACCAUAAAUGCCCCCACCAUUUAUAUGAAAGGCUGCAUGAGUGAGUACAUCUGUAGGCAGCAACAGCAGGCUCCUCGUACCACUGCUACCUGCUGCAGUACCAACUACUGCAACUAAUAAGGAGGACAUCAGCCAUGGAGAUGUCUCUAUAUGACCAUCACUAGCCAAGAAGUUACAAUCCAGUACUCAUUUAUAUUUCAUGAGUAUAAAAUAUAAUGUGUACUUUUCAGGCAUCUGCAUUAAUUGAUUUGUUUUGUUAAAUAAUGGGAAUUUUUAUUUUAAUUAAAUAAAAGAAUUAACUGCA